RNAcentral lists this long non-coding RNA (252 nucleotides) under Trifolium pratense (red clover). RNAcentral's name for it is "long non-coding RNA (TPRA_LNC012105)". Lineage: Eukaryota; Viridiplantae; Streptophyta; Magnoliopsida; Fabales; Fabaceae. The record is from RNAcentral.
UUUUUUUUUUGAAACAAGAAAACUUUUAUUCCAUUCAAAAAAUAAGUCUGUACAAGGUGAUCACAACUGAUCCAACCACUCAAAGGGGACAAGCAAAAACAUACAGAGAGGCUAAUUCUAGAUUAGCAAAUGAGCAAUGUGCUCCCUAAGCUUAGCAUUCCUCCAACCUCUAUAAACUAUAGUAUUGAUAAUGUCUUCAUCUAUGUUUGUGUUAUAUACUUUGUUGCCAAAACAAACAUCAUUCCUAUAUUU